UUUUUUUUUUUUUAAUUUGCCUUUUAGGGCUGCACCCUCAGCAUAUGGAGGUUCCCAGGCUAGGGGUCGAAUAGGAGCUAUAGCUGCCAGCCUACGCCAAAACCAUAGCAAUGUGGGAUCCGAGCUACAUCUGUAACCUACAACACAGCUCACGGCAACGCCGGAUCCUUAACCCACUGACUGAGGCCAGGGAUCAAGUCCGCAACCUCAUAGUUCCUACUCAGAUUUGUUUCUGCUGUGCCACAAUGGGAACUCCAUUUUAAGCAUAUUUAUAAUGUUGCACGUACUUUACUGAAAACCAUUUUUGUCAUGAACAAGCAUAUGCUCAGGAACACCAGAGCUGUCCAUUUCUCCCUUCCUGAGAAAGGGUCACCUACAGAAAAACUAAAAUCUAGGUUGGAAAUUUUUUUUAAAUUGGGAAUUUGGCAUUUGUCUGUAGUAGUCAUUACUGACUUCCAAGAGAUUACAGGAUUGCAUUGCUAUUAAGGCUCAAUGUGGAAUAGCACCUAGUGCUUCAUAUCAUAACAGGUUUUAUAUCCGUCUUUUUGAUGAUAUUGUAAAUUCUCAAAUCCACAGAUAGAGGGCUCAUAGCCCUGCCAUCUGCUUCCCCAUCAGAAGAAACACAACAGUUUAUACUCUUCAAGAAUAUGGCUUUAGUUUAUAUGUCCUGAUGCUCUGCCCACAGUAAUUUAAGUCAUUCCAGGGUGAUGGAGUCCUUAUAAGGGGAAAUUUCUUCCCCCAAUGCCCUUUCCUUACACCCAUGUCAAAACAACUGUCCAAAGUAGUACAUCAGCUUUCCCAAAGGUGAGAAGAAAGUAUUACAGUCAUGGAGUUCUCGUUGUGGCUCAGCAGUAACGAACCCAACUAGUAUCCAGGAGGACAUAGGUUCGAUCCCUGGUCUCACUCAGUGGGUUAAGUAUUCAGCAUCGCCGUGAGGUAUGGUAUAGAUCAGGGCGUGGCUUAGAUCUGGCAUUGCUAUAGCUGUGAUGUAGGCCAGCAAAGGCAGCUCAGAUUUGAUCCCUAGCCUGGGAACUUCCAUAUGCCACCAGUAUAGUUCUUAAAAAAAAAAAAAAGAAAGUGUUACAGUCAACAGUGUAACUAUCUUGGUCAUUCUUUGGGGCUGACAUAUAGGCCUCAACAAAGCAUCUAUGCUGAACAAAUAAGGCCCCAUUAAAGUUCCUUUGUCAGUGUGUGGUCUACCUGGGCUCCCAUCGUAACAGAGUUUAUUCUUACAUCAAAAUCAAAAACAAUAUAUAUUCUUAUCUUUGUUUUAAUUUUUUAAAAGUUUUUACCUUUAAAUAACUAUCAGCAUGAAUGGGGACGAGGAAGCUUUUGUCUUGAUUUUUUUCAAAUAAUUAUAAAGAACUUUAUUAUCUUCCAAAAUUGCACUUGGUUGAUAGAUCUAGCAGUUUCCUUUAUUUUCACUGCAAGAAAUUAUCAUCUUGAUUUUUAUUUUUUAACAUAAGGGAAGUGUUUUAUUUUCUCCCCUUGAGAGUUUGCUAGUUGUUUUGUUUUUUUUGUUGUUGUUGUUGUUGUUGUUUUUUCCUCCAGGAUCACAAUUACUUAAAACUUUAUACUUCGCUUUAACACCCCUUUCCACUGAUAGCCAACCUCUUCCCUCCCUUUUUGUUCCACACAAGGGGAAAUUGCAGAGAAAUACUACUUAAUUAUCAUGCCACGUAACUAAUUAAAAGUGGGAUGCUUGUGUAUGGUAUGCUAACGAGCUAUUAGAGAUCCAGCAUGCUUUAGUGACAAGAUAUGGGUUCCUAUUCUGCCCUUCACCUGGCUGUGGAUUUCCAGUUGACACUUAACAAUGAUGAGAUGGGAAUUUAUUAUGCCGCUUGCAAGCCAAGAACUUUGGGAGAGGGCAGAAAGGUCAGACAACAAAAUCACUCAGAGGAAGCAACACCUGAACUGAAACCAAGAGACCAAGAAUAAAAUAAAAUAAAAUAAAAUAAAAUAAAAUAAAAUAAAAUAAAAUAAAAUAAAAGUAAAUAAAUACAUCUGAGGAUUCCAUCUGUAGGAAACGAUGGAAUGUGUAGAGCACAGGGCAGAGGGUGUUCAACAAAUAGGAAAGUUUCAUUCUUAUUUUUGGUGGGCCCAGUGAUGGAAGAUGAGUAUGUUUGAAGUGAAAUAUUGAUUAGCUACUUGUAUGUAUGUCAUCUGUCCAGAUUUGAGUAUAUUAGUUAAGAAGUCCUCUGAAGACAGCCUAAAAUGAUUGGCAUGUCACACAGAGGUGAGGUCGGAAGCAUGCAAAGAAGUGUAUAGAAAGGAAAGAGGACACAGGGAGAGAGGGCAGAUAGAAAGAAUGACUAUUUACAAUUAUUUUUGUCUAUGAGAAAAAUAUUACAAAUGGACAAAGCAGGGAUGUGAGCAAGAAGCAAGAAGAUAACCACACUCAAGCUAAUGAUAAUGAUAAUCAAUACCGGGCUUUCCUUUCUUGGAGGCAGGUACCUGCUAAGCACUUUAAAUGCAUUAUUUCAUAUAUAGCCCAUCCUAGAAAGCACUACAAUAUCAGUGUAGGGUUCUACAACAAGUUCUUCUGACUUAUUGCAGAAAAUGGACUUUCAGCAACCACACUGAGCUCAAAUGCAAAGCAACCACUGCAUCUUUUAAGGGUCACUGUGCUCUGGAUCUAAAAUAUAGCAGGUACUCAAUUAAGAGGAAAUAAACAAUAGAAUGUUAAUAAUGUAAGAGAACUUUGAGGUGGCCCAUUCCUUUUCAUUAAUAAACAGUAUUGGAAGUCAGAGAAGAAAUGGCUUCCAUGAUCUGAUGCUGGUGCUACCAUGUACUACGCAUCUAUUACUCAACCUCUAAUAAGGAAUAUGCAUUCUGAAGCAAUGCCCAACCUAGCAAGGAAUUUUAUUUUGCUGCUCCCUCAGUUCAUGAUGUGCUUCUGCUGACAUUCCUUUAGGUUAAGAACAAUUACUCCCUUUCUCCUUGUCUUAUUACAACUGAAAAGAGAAAAGCAGCAAUCAGAAUUUUCAGGGAAGUUCCUUACUUGCAAAGGGAAGAAGGCCACAUGCCAGGCCCAUCUCUGCCCCCUGGGAACCUCAGCGUUAAGUUGGCAGAGACACUGUCACUAGAGCAGCAGCUCCCACACUGAGGUGCUGACCAGGUUAGGAACCUAUUUUCCUGCCAUCACGUGCCCUUCAACAAUAAAAAUGUAAUCUCUAUGUUUCCCCAAUAUUUAUUCUUCCCUUCCACCCCAUAAGAGAAUGUCUAUAUAAUUAGCAAUGGCUUUAGCUAAAAACCUCCUCUUGCAGAUGGAGUGGCCCCAUGAGAUAUAAGUAAAAGUCAAUGGGUAGAGGUUCCAGGACAUUCUCUGAGGGAGAGAUGGGAAUGUAAUGGCUGGACUUCCAAAGAUGUCCUUGGACCUAGAGGGUGGAAGCUGUCCAUUGGAGAUGGCAAAGUCAAAUGAUAGGCAGUUCUGAUAUAAUUUUAGCCCUGUAUAUCUCUUGUAGACUAUUUUAUGUGAAGGAAAACGAAAAGCCCUCAUUUAUUUAAGCUGUUUUGUUUGGGCUUUCUGUAGUAUGCCACUAAACCUAACCCUAACUAAUACAUCCUUUCCCAAACUCCUCUUACUAUUCUUAGACUAGUAAGUAUCUCAAAAUUUUCUUUGUGGUAGAUAAGAUACCACCACCGCUUUUUACUCUAGUUUAGAAAAAGGACUCCUUUUGGUAAGCAAAGUGUCAUGUCAGCUAUACAUGCAUUUCUUGGCUGAUAAUCAAAACUUCUUUUCCUUGUUAUAAUUCAAAGAUUAGGCGCAAAUCUAUACUCUAUCCUUCACAUAACACAUGACCUGAUGUUUUUUCUUUCUUUCUUAGCUAUAUCUGAGGGACUUAGAGUGGGUAGAGGUUUGGAAAGAAAAAACAAUCAGGUUCUUUAUAUGCUUAUACUGCUGCCAGAUGGGAGCCUGGAGGUUCAUGGCACCUCUUUAAUAUCCUUAGGGCCCUGCAAUUUUGGGAGGGAUCAGAAAGAAGCAUUGCUUUUUGGAAAACUCGACAAGUGUAAAAUCCUUCUGUUUUUUGGUUUGACCUCAAUAUUUUGUGCCUGUUUCCAGAUUUUCUAAAGUUCUUUCAUUUCUUCUCUUUUUCUCUUUCAUUUUUGUUCUGUUUCUUUUGUACUUUACUCAUAAUUUUAGAAACAGUUGCACAUUUACAGAAAUAAUAUUCUUCUUUUGAAGGCUGAAGGACAGGGUUGGCAAGAGGGUAGGGAUUUCCAUGGAGUAAAGGAGGUAACUUUGGGAAGGGUGAUUUGAAAAGUAAAUGAAAUACAGCCCAACAUGAUGAAGUACUUGCGUAACUGCAGAUCUUUCAGUGGGCUGGAUAGAUGUUAUCCAUGUUAGCAUAUCCACAUGGGUCCCACUUUCCCUGGUAGGACCUAGAUAAGCCCUCCCAUUGGAUGGUCCCAAGAGCUGAGAAAGCUGCUACAUUGAGAAGGGCUCUACCUAUUCCUUUUUCAUUAUCAUUUCUCUCCAUUCUCUCCCAUAUACUAGUACAAGGUCCUUUCAUGCAUCUCUCAAUUAUGCCUAAACGGUAAAAUCAUGGAGGUAUAAGUAAAAAUUUUAAUGAUGAGUGCCUAUGAAUUUCAAUUUUUCCAUGUAUAUUACUGUGUAAUAAUAAGCAAGAUAUGAAACCUUGAUAAACCCAUUCCCUUUUUUUAUACAAGGUAAAUUGCAAUCUCUCUUAUUAAAUGUUAAAUGAAACAUACAACAUACAUAUAUGCUUUGUCCAAAAUCACGUUUGGAUCUUUGGUAUCCUCAAGGCUCAAUAAAUUGUUUAGAAAUAUUUAUUGGAGUUCCCGUUAUGGCUCAGUGGUAAGUAACUAGUAUCUAUGAAUAUGUGGGUUCGAUCCCUGGCCUUGUUCAGUGAGUUAGAAGAUCCGGCAUUACCAUGAGCUGUGGUGUAGGUUGCAGACAUGGUUCAGAUUUGGCAUUGCUGUGGCUGUGGCAUAGGCCAGCAGCUGCAGCUCCAAUUUGACCCCUAGCCUGGGAAAUUCCAUAAGCCAUGGGUUCAGCCCUAAAAAGAAAAAAAAAAUAUUGACACACAAUGCCUAAGGAAUACUUGCUUAAGUUUGAAUAAUACAUAAUGAACUAAUGAAUGAAUGUCCUAAUGGCUUUGCUUUUAGUCCUAGCUGAAUUUUAUUUGUGUAAUGGCAUUCUGUAUUCAAGCUAACAAUGAGCUUAUUUCAUUGUAAAGCAAUCUAACAAUAAGGUGACCACAUAAUCCAAACUAGGACAUUUUUGAGGCACUAUUAAUAAUUGCUUUGAAACAACUUAUAUAAACUGGGAUUAUCCUGAACAAAUAGAGGUAUAUAUAUAGUAUACCUCUCUCUAUAUAUAUCCACCUUCUUAAAAACUACACAGCUCUUGGCUUGAUCCAUUGAUAAGGAUCACAAAUGAAUCUGUAAUUCUGAUAGUAUGCAAAGGUUUGAUUUUCUCAAUGUUUAAGCCAAAAGAAGUACCCAAAAAUUGUGUAUGUAUGCCUUACUCUGCACAAUGGAUUGCUUCCUGAACAACUGUGUUUAUUGGAUUUUUAAUAAUGAAAGUUACAUAUACAUUCCCAUGGGCACUUUAUAAAGAAUCUCAGUACUGAACCAUUUUUAAAGUGAUAAAACUCUAAAAUUUGAAUAAUCAGCCCUCCCACUGGGAACUCAGAUAUCCAAUUUAUUUGCUUAUAAGUUAAAGUUUGUUUAGUUUCAUAUUGAGUUUUCCAAAGUAUGACAUAUCUUCAGGCCGCAGUCUUGCAUGAAAUAUGUCCUAAUAAUAUGUGACUAGUCAAUUAUUCACCUAGGGCACUUUUAGUCACCUAAGACUGUUACUCUAAUGAAGUUGCCAUCUUAAUGGGGUGAUAGACAGAAACAAUAGAGGACUGUCACAGAGCAAUGUGAAAGGACAAUUUCUCUUCAAGAUAGCACCCCAUGUUCCUAGGUAGCCACAGAAUUAAAAUCCUUCUGCCCCAUGAAAACUAUAAUAGGAGUGUCUGCAAUUAAGGUUGUGGGGUUACAUGGACCGUAGAGCUCCUUUAUUGCAUUUGAGAUCUAGACUGUUAUAGUCUUACUAGUUGAGUUUAUCAGAGUGACUUUAGUAAUACCAGAGAUGAAUCUGGUAGCAUAAGCAUCAGCCUCGGCCCUUCAGUGGCCAACAAAGACUAAUUAAGAAGUGAAACAUUGGUUAAGUUGCUCUCCAUUAGGGCAAGAUAAUGUAUUCCUGGAAGUACCAGGAGGCUGUAAUUGCUAGGCCCUAGAUAACUCUGAUUUAGUAAGAGAGCUUUAAUGUUUAACAUAUGUUAAGGUUCUAGAAAACCUUUCAGCUAUGACUGAUACUGAGGGCUCCGUGUGUAUCCUGUUUGAGCUGCAAACAUAGAAUGUCACUUUAUAAAAGAUGUUUAACACUUAGCAUGUUAAACCCAACCAUUUCAACCCAUCCAAACAUCUCACUUGAAUAGUCCUAUAUAAUAAGCAGUAUCAAUACCAUAACUUGAAGGUAAGAAAAUUUCAAGUGUAACCCAGGUUGUGUUAGUCACUAGGUCUGAGAGCUAAACAAAGCUUGUUUACUUAUCCAAAUAUUAAUUACUUCAUAUAUAACAUUAGAGGAUUUGGACCGUAUAUACUAUAGAUUUCUUUCAUAAUUAACAUUUUAGGAGUAAUUCCUUGAAGCCUCUAAUAGAAACCUAGGAUGUUACAGGAUGAUAUAAUGAAGGUCUAUGGUUAGAGCUGAUGGCCAAGAAGGGAACUAACUCAAAACUUAAGCCAAUAAAAAAAAGAAAUCAGUCUUUCUGACAUAAUAUAGCUUACUGUCAACAUGUAAACAUCAGAUAUCAUGCUAUUACCACCAUAACAUGUUCUUCAGUUUAAAAAUUAAUCUGUAAUACAUAACAAUUACAUUACUUAUCUUACAGAAGAGGAAACAGAUGCAAAGGAGUUAAGUAACUUCUCCAAGUUUGCUAGAACUUAAGAACUUAAAAAACAGUCCAGAUUUGCUUACUUCCAAUUAGUCUCUUUCAUAUCUUAGAUUUCUUCAGGUGGAAAAUCACAAGAAAACUUAGUUUAUGUUAGUAAACAGCACUAGGUGCUCUAGGAUUACUGAAUGAAAACAUUCUACUUUACUAACAGUAGGAAACAAAUGGAAACACUUUUACACUUCUCUUCAACUGUCUCCACCCUCAUAUCUUAUACCAUAGAGGUACUUUGUGUACAGGGAAGGACAGAGAAUAAAAUGCAAUCAAUUGGCUAAGAAACAAUGAGCCAACUUGCAGUUGGUCUAAAAGAUAAGCUAUACUUUUAUUACUGUUUUGGGAAGAGUAAUCCAGUAAUGAUACCUAAGCACAUCCUUGGACUCUUUUCUGCUGCAGAGAAGGACAGUUAGAAGCGAAGGACAGAAAUAAAAUAGUACAAUCCUCUAGAUUCUAUCUGAAUUGAGUAGAGGGGAAAAUGAGCUGAAAUUCAACUGUGAAGGGGAAAAAAUAAAAAGUGAUGACAUGGAAACUGGAUUUUCAAAAAGUAGGUAGAGUGAAAGAGGAGGUGGAUAUAAAGAGAGAAGUUCCUAAGGCCCUAUGUUUCUGCCUUUGCAUUGACCACUUAUUUAUGUAUAUGUCUUAUGAAUUAUAGAACCACAAAUACACAUAUAUAACAAAAACAGAGAAACAAUACAUGUGUUGAUAACCCUUCUGUCUAGUGAUGCAUUUGUACAUGGACAGAGGCUUAUCAUGAAUCCUAAUAUGUCAUGGGAACAGAAGCUACUACUAAUUAAAUAUUCAGAGAAAGGAAAAAAUAACACUAGAGGAGUUCCCAUCAUGGCACAGUGGAAACAAAUCUGACAAGGAGCCGUGAGGUUGAGGGUUAGAUCCCUCACCUUGCUCAUUGGAUUAAGGAUCUGGCGUUGCUGUGAGCUGUGGUGUAGGUCACAGACAGGGUUUGGAUCUGGCGUUGCUAUGGCUCUGGUGUACGCCGGCGGCUACAGCUCCGAUUAGACCCCUAG
This 7981-nucleotide long non-coding RNA is filed under the name Sus scrofa (pig). Its description in RNAcentral is "lncRNA (ENSSSCG00055030959.1)". The record is from RNAcentral. Lineage: Eukaryota; Metazoa; Chordata; Mammalia; Artiodactyla; Suidae.